Molecule: transfer RNA, 71 nt
Filed under: Loxodonta africana (African savanna elephant)
Lineage: Eukaryota; Metazoa; Chordata; Mammalia; Proboscidea; Elephantidae
Rfam family: tRNA
About the family: Transfer RNA (tRNA) molecules are approximately 80 nucleotides in length. Their secondary structure includes four short double-helical elements and three loops (D, anti-codon, and T loops).
Source: Rfam by way of RNAcentral
GCAGGGGUGGUUCAGGGGUGGAAUUCUCGUCUUCCAUGCGGGAGACCCAGGUUCGAUUCCCGGCCAGUGCA